This 1012-nucleotide long non-coding RNA is filed under the name Anas platyrhynchos platyrhynchos (common mallard). Its description in RNAcentral is "lncRNA (ENSAPLG00000023685.1)". The record is from RNAcentral. Lineage: Eukaryota; Metazoa; Chordata; Aves; Anseriformes; Anatidae.
UAGGCCUGUCAGACUCUGCCUCGACUCUCCCACACCAGUGUCCCGGCUCCCUGCCUGGGAAGCAUGAAUACAGCCGAGGGCUCUCAGCCUCAUUGCCUGCCUCUCCCAGGAUGUUGACUUCCAAGAUGCUUUCUUAAAAACUGUUGUUGACCUUGACCCCUCUUUUACAUGAAUGGAGUGGCCAGCAGCUGCUGACCUGCAGUGUGAUUAUCAGUGUCACGAGGAAACCUCGAGCAACUUGGAAAAGAUCUUUUCUUAUCCCAACCAUCCUUGAAGCAUCAUUUUACUUUGUUUUAGUGGCGGGCAUCAGGACUUCUUGUUCAGGUACUUGGGCAACUCAGACAACAGUAAGUCUCUUUACCAGUCUUUUACAAGUGAAGGUCCUUUGGUAUCAACAGGUUGUUUUGCGGGGCUCAUAUUUGAUUCAGCUUUUGAGAUGUAAUGAUAUGACGGUUGUUGCUUUCUGUAAGUGCUCCCUUCAAUUUUCUAAGAGCUUCCACCCAAAUGAAAAUGACAAUGUUUCCAUAACAACCUGACGGAUGUGUUAACUUGCUAUACAGCUUAUGUGUAUUGUACCUUCAGUAUAUUUCCAGUUCUAUUAAAAACAGAAAAUAAUUUUAAUAGCCAAGGUGCAUUUUUCUUCCUGCUGAUAUUUUCACCUAUUGAGUGGGUUGUGAAUUAGCUGAAUAUUAUCCUUCAGCCUUUAACAGUUGCCUUCUAUUUGUAAGGUAAUAACUGACUAGAUUCCGAAAAGUCCAUGAGGUAUGAAACAAAUGGAUUUAAACAUUGCAGUGUCCCCUACAUCUCUCACCUGAUAUUUUUCCUGGUCUGAUCAUUAUCUAAUUCAGUAACAGACAAAUGAUCAGAGCUGUUUUGUAUGGUUACUCGUGAAUGUAAUUUUGCAUUUCAUUUUUGGCAUGUCGUAAAUAUUUCCUGGCAAUGGAUAUAUGCAUUUCACUCCUGUGAUUUUGGAUUUUUGUUUUUUUGUUUCCUCGUGUUUGAAAUCACUUCC